AAACGAUGCUGACUAGUUGUUCGGGAUUUUAUCCUGAGUAACGUAGCUAACGCGUGAAGUCAGCCGCCUGGGGAGUACGGUCGCAAGAUUAAAACUCAAAGGAAUUGACGGGGACCCGCACAAGCGGUGGAUGAUGUGGAUUAAUUCGAUGCAACGCGAAAAACCUUACCUACCCUGACAUGUAACAACGAAGUAGAGAUACAUUCGGUGCUCGUAAGAGAAGUUAACACAGGUGCUGCAUGGCUGUCGUCAGCUCGUGUCGUGAGAUGUUGGGUUAAGUCCCGCAACGAGCGCAACCUUGUCUUUAGUGCUACGUAAGAGC
Molecule: ribosomal RNA, 322 nt
Filed under: uncultured beta proteobacterium
Lineage: Bacteria; Pseudomonadati; Pseudomonadota; Betaproteobacteria
Description: bacterial SSU rRNA
Rfam family: Bacterial small subunit ribosomal RNA
Source: RNAcentral